This 67-nucleotide transfer RNA is filed under the name Ictidomys tridecemlineatus (thirteen-lined ground squirrel). Its description in RNAcentral is "Spermophilus tridecemlineatus (thirteen-lined ground squirrel) tRNA". It matches the Rfam family "tRNA". From Rfam's summary of the family: Transfer RNA (tRNA) molecules are approximately 80 nucleotides in length. Their secondary structure includes four short double-helical elements and three loops (D, anti-codon, and T loops). Lineage: Eukaryota; Metazoa; Chordata; Mammalia; Rodentia; Sciuridae. The record is from Rfam by way of RNAcentral.
GGUGGUAGCUUAGUGGUAGAGCACUCAUCUAGUACGUGUGAGGCCCUGGGUUUGAUCCUUAGCACCA